UCCGGUUUGGCACCGGCAGUCUCCCUAGAGUUCCCGGCAUUACCCGCUGGCAACUAAGGACAGGGGUUGCGCUCGUUGCGCCACUUAAGGCAACACCUCACGGCACGAGCUGACGACAGCCAUGCACCACCUGUGCAGGCUCCGAAGAGCGCCCGCUUUCACGGGUUUCACCCUGCAUGUCAAGCCCAGGUAAGGUGGGGAUGACGUUCGUCUGAC
Molecule: unclassified non-coding RNA, 216 nt
Filed under: uncultured Actinomycetes bacterium
Lineage: Bacteria; Bacillati; Actinomycetota; Actinomycetes
Description: uncultured actinobacterium contains 16S-23S intergenic spacer region
Source: RNAcentral